AUUGAACGCUGGCGGCAUGCUUUACACAUGCAAGUCGAACGGUAACAGGUUAAGCUGACGAGUGGCGAACGGGUGAGUAAUGCAUCGGAACGUGCCCGGUCGUGGGGGAUAACGCAGCGAAAGCUGCGCUAAUACCGCAUACGAUCUGAGGAUGAAAGCGGGGGACCGUAAGGCCUCGCGCGAUCGGAGCGGCCGAUGUCAGAUUAGGUAGUUGGUGGGGUAAAGGCUCACCAAGCCAACGAUCUGUAGCUGGUCUGAGAGGACGACCAGCCACACUGGGACUGAGACACGGCCCAGACUCCUACGGGAGGCAGCAGUGGGGAAUUUUGGACAAUGGGCGAAAGCCUGAUUCAGCAAUGCCGCGUGCAGGAAGAAGGCCUUCGGGUUGUAAACUGCUUUUGUACGGAGCGAAAAGGUCCUUUCUAAUACAGGGGGCUCAUGACGGUACCGUAAGAAUAAGCACCGGCUAACUACGUGCCAGCCGCCGCCGUAA
RNAcentral lists this ribosomal RNA (493 nucleotides) under uncultured bacterium. RNAcentral describes it as "partial 16S ribosomal RNA". It matches the Rfam family "Bacterial small subunit ribosomal RNA", at positions 30 to 523 of the family's 1533-position model. The record is from RNAcentral.